CUUUACUGCAGGCUGAUAUUGGUAUUAGACAUGUUUUGUGUAGGAUAGGUGGGAGGCGAUGAUCUGGUGGCGCCAGCCAUCAGGGAGCCAACGUUGAAAUACCACCCUGAACCUGUUUGAUAUCUAACCCCGAUCCCGUAAUCCGGGCGGUGGACAGUGUCAGUUGGGCAGUUUGACUGGGGCGGUCCCCUCCCAAAGUGUAACGGAGGAGCGCAAUGGUACCCUCAGCCUGGUUGGCAAUCAGGCGUAGAGCGUAAGGGUAGAAGGGUGCUUGACUGCGAGACUGAUAGGUCGAGCAGAAACGAAAGUUGGCCCUAGUGAUCCGGCGGUUCCGAAUGGAAGGGCCGUCGCUCAACAGAUAAAAGGUA
This 368-nucleotide ribosomal RNA is filed under the name uncultured organism. Its description in RNAcentral is "bacterial LSU rRNA". It matches the Rfam family "Bacterial large subunit ribosomal RNA", at positions 2099 to 2465 of the family's 2925-position model. The record is from RNAcentral.